GACGAACGCUGGCGGCGUGCUUAACACAUGCAAGUCGAACGAAGUGGCGACCGGGAGAGUAACGCGUAAUACACCUGCCCUUCAGAGGGGGACAACAGUAGGAAACGACUGCUAAUCACGCAUAAUGAAGGAGGGGAUUGCGUCUGAUUAGCUAGUUGGAGGGGUAACGGCCCACCAAGGCGAUGAUCCGUAACUGGUCUGAGAGGAUGAUCAGUCACACUGGAACUGAGACACGGUCCAGAAUCCUACGGGAGGCAGCAGUGGGGAAUAUUGGACAAUGGGCGAAAGCCUGAUCCAGCCAUGCCGCGUGUGUGAAGAAGGUCUUCGGAUUGUAAAGCACUUUAAGUUGGGAGGCGUUACCAACAGAAUAAGCACCGGCUAACUUCGUGCCAGCAGCCGCGGUAAUAC
This 408-nucleotide ribosomal RNA is filed under the name uncultured bacterium. Its description in RNAcentral is "partial 16S ribosomal RNA". It matches the Rfam family "Bacterial small subunit ribosomal RNA", at positions 28 to 526 of the family's 1533-position model. The record is from RNAcentral.